UACGUAGGGUGCAAGCGUUAAUCGGAAUUACUGGGCGUAAAGCGUGCGCAGGCGGUUGUGCAAGACAGAUGUGAAAUCCCCGGGCUCAACCUGGGAACUGCAUUUGUGACUGCACGGCUGGAGUGCGGCAGAGGGGGAUGGAAUUCCGCGUGUAGCAGUGAAAUGCGUAAAUAUGCGGAGGAACACCGAUGGCGAAGGCAAUCCCCUGGGCCUGCACUGACGCUCAUGCACGAAAGCGUGGGGAGCAAACAGG
This 253-nucleotide ribosomal RNA is filed under the name uncultured bacterium. RNAcentral's name for it is "partial 16S ribosomal RNA". It matches the Rfam family "Bacterial small subunit ribosomal RNA", at positions 524 to 776 of the family's 1533-position model. The record is from RNAcentral.